Molecule: ribosomal RNA, 253 nt
Filed under: uncultured bacterium
Lineage: Bacteria
Description: partial 16S ribosomal RNA
Rfam family: Bacterial small subunit ribosomal RNA
Source: RNAcentral
UACAGAGGGGGCAAGCGUUGUUCGGAAUUACUGGGCGUAAAGGGCGCGUAGGCGGCCUUCUAAGUCGAACGUGAAAUCCCCGGGCUCAACCCGGGAACUGCGUCCGAUACUGGAAGGCUUGAAUCCGGGAGAGGGAUGCGGAAUUCCAGGUGUAGCGGUGAAAUGCGUAGAUAUCUGGAGGAACACCGGUGGCGAAGGCGGGAUCCUGGACCGGUAUUGACGCUGAGGCGCGAAAGCCAGGGGAGCAAACGGG